This 508-nucleotide ribosomal RNA is filed under the name uncultured bacterium. RNAcentral describes it as "bacterial SSU rRNA". It matches the Rfam family "Bacterial small subunit ribosomal RNA", at positions 30 to 518 of the family's 1533-position model. The record is from RNAcentral.
UUGAACGCUGGCGGCGUGCUUAACACAUGCAAGUCGAACGCGAAAGGGACGUUCGGUCCUGAGUAAAGUGGCGCACGGGUGAGUAACGCGUGGAUAAUCUGCCCUUAUGAUCGGGAUAACAGUUGGAAACGGCUGCUAAUACCGGAUACGCUCAAAAUGAACUUUUUGAGGAAAGAUGGCCUCUGCUUGCAUGCUAUCACGUAAGGAUGAGUCCGCGUCCCAUUAGCUUGUUGGCGGGGUAACGGCCCACCAAGGCAACGAUGGGUAGCCGAUUUGAGAGGAUGAUCGGCCACACUGGAACUGAAACACGGUCCAGACUCCUACGGGAGGCAGCAGUGGGGAAUAUUGCGCAAUGGGCGAAAGCCUGACGCAGCGACGCCGCGUGAGGGAUGAAAGGUUUUCGGAUCGUAAACCUCUGUCAGAAGGGAAGAAACUACGUUGUGCUAAUCAGCAGCGUACUGACGGUACCUUCAAAGGAAGCACCGGCUAACUCCGUGCCAGCAGCUGC